Molecule: ribosomal RNA, 250 nt
Filed under: uncultured prokaryote
Description: partial 16S ribosomal RNA
Rfam family: Bacterial small subunit ribosomal RNA
Source: RNAcentral
UACGUAGGGGGCAAGCGUUGUCCGGAAUGACUGGGCGUAAAGGGAGUGUAGGCGGUUCUUUAAGUUAAAUGUGAAAGCCUGGGGCUUAACCCCAGAACUGCAUUUAAUACUGGAGGGCUUGAGUGUGGGAGAGGUAAGUGGAAUUCCUAGUGUAGCGGUGAAAUGCAUAGAUAUUAGGAGGAACAUCAGUGGCGAAGGCGACUUACUGGAACAUAACUGACGCUGAAACUCGAAAGCGUGGGGAGCAAAC